CUCAGCGCUCGGCGUAAUGACGUCUCCGAGCAGUGAAAACGCUGAGUUUUUAUACACAUGUGAAGGACAUUCUCCGUGCCAGUUACGAGAAGCUACAAAGCAGGUUGAGAUAAGAACCCAGGUGAAGCUGAGGGCAGCACACACACAAGAUCCUCCUCAGUGGCCGCUGCAAAUCAUUAUUAAUUGACAUAAAGUAAAAACGUGGAUCCGGAACUUUCGUACCGAAUAAGAUAUGAACCAAGGCCAUGAACAGAAGUCCUUUGUUUUGAAGCUUCUAUGAGAUCGAGUCGACCGUCCUCCCUUCUCAGGACACAGCUGCAAAGCAACAUUUUGUAUCAUGCUGCUCUUUGCACAUCAGGGUCAAAUACAGGACACUUGAGACACGGCUUUAGCACGAAACAAUGUUAUAAUAUAUUUUAUCAGUACAUGCAUCUCACACGACCCACAGGACAGGAAGCGGCAGCUGGAACGUCUGCGUGGCUCCUCCGUGCUACUCGUAUGUGAACGUCCCCAGCAGGGUGUCCUCCUCCACGUCGUCCUUCAGGCCCUGCAGGAGGAGAAGGAUCAAGAAACACCAACAUGAGAAAUGAUGAGCUGAAGCAUCCGUUGAAUCAGCUUCUGAUUUAUCUGGAUCUUCUGAGUCAAGUUCUUCAUCUUCUACCAACUCCUUCUCAGACUGUUCUUCCUCUCCGAGCUCCUCAAGCUCGGAGAAUGUAAAGAAGAGGAUGAAGAAGUCAAAGAAGAAGAAGGGAAAGAAAGUAACAAGAGAGAGAGGAAGCAAAAAGAUCAGACGGAGCCGUGUUUCAAGGGCACGUGGUCCAGAUGAGGCCUACAAGAAGAAGCAUACAAUUGCCUUGAAUGCACCAUUUGUCACUGUCUUAUUUUUUAGUUUUCUGCCACUCGUGUCCCCGGGUAACUUCACUUCCUGCCUUGUCCUGUCGUCCCCUGUCAUUGUCUGAGCGUUUCCACCUGUGUCCAAUCACCUGCACCUCCCUAGUGUAUUUAAGCCGUGUGUCUCUUGUGUCACUUGUCGCGUCAUUGUCGAACGUCCUGGAUGUGUCUAGUCCGUGCCUGCUUUUUUGCCCUGGUUCCUGUGUGUUUUUGCCCCUUGGCCUUUUACUUUUGGUAUUUUGGACUAUUAAAGUCUAUUUUGUUACUCGAACUCUGCAUUUGAGUCCUGCCUUCCCACGCACCCCUGACACCAAUUGCUGAGAUUUCCAUUGCGGCCCCUGAAAAGUUUGCGGAGUUUAAGGAUCAGCAUACAACAAAGCACAAGCUCUGUAGGAUUUCACUGGGAAAUGUCGAGAUGCCAUCGUGACUGUCCAGAUAUUGGUGACACAGUUCGGGCACUGAAGAAAUCAGAGAAACUGUAUCAACCUUGACCACAUUAGAUGUGGAGGUUGUGAAAAUCAUUAACCAGUAAUUAACACGUAAUGAAAUAUUUAUUAGCCUUAAUAAGGCUUGUUCUCGCUUUAGAUCAGGUAGCUGUAAAAAGAAUAGUUAACUGUUAACAAGUGCAUAGUUAACUUAUAAUAGAUGAGCAGUAAAGUAUAUUUUAUAUUCAAUAAGCAAACAAAAAAAGAU
Molecule: long non-coding RNA, 1584 nt
Organism: Gasterosteus aculeatus aculeatus (three-spined stickleback)
Lineage: Eukaryota; Metazoa; Chordata; Actinopteri; Perciformes; Gasterosteidae
Source: Ensembl